CUAAUUCCCCAUCUCUCGAUCUCCUCUCCACUCCCAGAUCCCAACCGCCACCCCAUCCUACUUCUUUCUCUUCUCCACGACAGUGAGCCGUUGCUGCUGUUCGCCAGGUCGUCGCUGCUAGAUCCCUGCCCUAGCUGGCAACCAUGUUGAUUCGCUACUAACCCGCCCUACACGUGGUGACACCGUCGCCACGCCCAUGGCCUCAUCUCCAACAACCAGUCUGCCUCUCCGAUAUCCCGGAGCAAGAGGUACCUAUCCGGUGACUUGACCACGUGCUCCCACGACCGACAACGACUCUGACGGUGGAACCUCCGUGAAGCAGAAAAAGGACCCCAAGCACGGACCACCUUCAUCUUCAGAUUGCAAUACCUUCUUCCACCACCUCCUAUUGUAGACGUCUCAGAUGUGGUUGUUGAGAAAGCUGCAGAUCAGGCUCUGGAACGAAUAAACAAGUCUCGUGGGUUUCUACAAUAUUUGAAUAUGCAAUGCUGAUGGAUAGGAAGAACAAUGCCCG
Long non-coding RNA from Hordeum vulgare subsp. vulgare (domesticated barley), 514 nucleotides. RefSeq lists it as uncharacterized. NCBI's taxonomy places the organism in Eukaryota, Viridiplantae, Streptophyta, Magnoliopsida, Poales, Poaceae. The transcript is spliced from 3 exons. The record is from RefSeq and is a predicted model, not a curated record.